GACGAACGCUGGCGGCGUGCUUAACACAUGCAAGUCGAACGGAAAGGCCCUGCUUUUGUGGGGUGCUCGAGUGGCGAACGGGUGAGUAACACGUGAGUAACCUGCCCUUGACUUUGGGAUAACUUCAGGAAACUGGGGCUAAUACCGGAUAGGAGCUCCUGCUGCAUGGUGGGGGUUGGAAAGUUUCGGCGGUUGGGGAUGGACUCGCGGCUUAUCAGCUUGUUGGUGGGGUAGUGGCUUACCAAGGCUUUGACGGGUAGCCGGCCUGAGAGGGUGACCGGCCACAUUGGGACUGAGAUACGGCCCAGACUCCUACGGGAGACAGCGGUGGGGAAUAUUGCACAAUGGGCGGAAGCCUGAUGCAGCAACGCCGCGUGCGGGAUGACGGCCUUCGGGUUGUAAACCGCUUUCGCCUGUGACGAAGCGUGAGUGACGGUAAUGGGUAAAGAAGCACCGGCUAACUACGUG
RNAcentral lists this ribosomal RNA (468 nucleotides) under uncultured bacterium. RNAcentral's name for it is "partial 16S ribosomal RNA". It matches the Rfam family "Bacterial small subunit ribosomal RNA", at positions 28 to 507 of the family's 1533-position model. The record is from RNAcentral.